Molecule: ribosomal RNA, 254 nt
Filed under: uncultured bacterium
Lineage: Bacteria
Description: partial 16S ribosomal RNA
Rfam family: Bacterial small subunit ribosomal RNA
Source: RNAcentral
UACAGAGGUCUCAAGCGUUGUUCGGAUUCAUUGGGCGUAAAGGGUGCGUAGGCGGCGCGGUAAGUCGGGUGUGAAAGCCCCGAGCUUAACUUGGGAGUUGCGCUUGUGACUGGCGUGCUGGAGUGUGGCAGAGGGAGGUGGAAUUCCACGUGUAGCAGUGAAAUGCGUAGAGAUGUGGAGGAACACCGAUGGCGAAGGCAGCCUCCUGGGCCAGCACUGACGCUCAUGCACGAAAGCGCUGGGGAGCAAACAGG